RNAcentral lists this ribosomal RNA (254 nucleotides) under uncultured bacterium. RNAcentral's name for it is "partial 16S ribosomal RNA". It matches the Rfam family "Bacterial small subunit ribosomal RNA", at positions 524 to 777 of the family's 1533-position model. The record is from RNAcentral.
UACGGAGGGUGCAAGCGUUAUCCGGAUUCACUGGGUUUAAAGGGUGCGUAGGAGGGUAGGUAAGUCAGUGGUGAAAUCUUCGAGCUUAACUCGGAAACUGCCGUUGAUACUAUCUAUCUUGAAUACCGUGGAGGUGAGCGGAAUAUGUCAUGUAGCGGUGAAAUGCUUAGAUAUGACAUAGAACACCAAUUGCGAAGGCAGCUCGCUACACGAAUAUUGACUCUGAGGCACGAAAGCGUGGGGAUCAAACAGGA